CAAUAGUUUAGCUGUUGCUCAGUAGCACUUACGCUGAUCAAGGACUUUUCAGUCUCUCCUGCUCUGCCAGUGAGGAGUGGCACAAGAAACCAGGAGGAGCAAAAACAGGACAGCUGAUCCAAAGUAGCCAAAGAGGUAUUCCAUACCACAGCAUGUCAAGCCCAGUAUAUAAACGGGGGGGACUGGCCAGAAGGGAUCGCUGC
Strigops habroptila (Kakapo) is the source of this 203-nucleotide long non-coding RNA. RefSeq lists it as uncharacterized. The record is from RefSeq and is a predicted model, not a curated record. The transcript has 3 exons. Lineage: Eukaryota; Metazoa; Chordata; Aves; Psittaciformes; Psittacidae.